GUGAGGAAUAUUGGUCAAUGGGCGAGAGCCUGAACCAGCCAAGUCGCGUGAAGGAAGAAGGAUCUAUGGUUCGUAAACUUCUUUUGCAGGGGAAUAAAGUGCAGGACGUGUCCUGUUUUGUAUGUACCCUGAGAAUAAGGAUCGGCUAACUCCGUGCCAGCAGCCGCGGUAAUACGGAGGAUCCGAGCGUUAUCCGGAUUUAUUGGGUUUAAAGGGUGCGUAGGCGGACUAUUAAGUCAGUGGUGAAAUCCUGCAGCUUAACUGCAGAACUGCCAUUGAUACUGAUAGCCUUGAGUUUGGUUAAGGUAGGCGGAAUGUGUAAUGUAGCGGUGAAAUGCUUAGAUAUUACACAGAACACCAAUUGCGUAGGCAGCUUACUGAGCCGACACUGACGCUGAGGCACGAAAGCGUGGGGAUCGAACAGGAUUAGAUACCCGAGUAGUCC
Molecule: ribosomal RNA, 445 nt
Filed under: uncultured bacterium
Lineage: Bacteria
Description: partial 16S ribosomal RNA
Rfam family: Bacterial small subunit ribosomal RNA
Source: RNAcentral